GAAGGUAGGAAUCUAGGACCGAAAGUGGACACCAUUUGUUGUGGGUAGGAUAGUAUGUUAUCUCUACUGUUGGUGUAUGUUGACUCGUUUCAGAAUGUGAUAGAGCCAAUAGGUAAUGAUAUAUGUGUAUACGUACGUGGGAUCAUUGAAGACCAUGAUCUGUCUGAGUGGUGGUGAUGGUAGUGGAUUCUCUGGCCUGAGAAAGGCAUAGAAGGCAAUGUCCAUGGCUGGUAAUGAC
This 238-nucleotide long non-coding RNA is filed under the name Pelobates cultripes (western spadefoot toad). The record is from RNAcentral. Lineage: Eukaryota; Metazoa; Chordata; Amphibia; Anura; Pelobatidae.